Molecule: ribosomal RNA, 207 nt
Filed under: uncultured bacterium
Lineage: Bacteria
Description: partial 16S ribosomal RNA
Rfam family: Bacterial small subunit ribosomal RNA
Source: RNAcentral
CGUGUAGGCGGCUUAUUAAGUUGGAUGUGAAAGCUCCUGGCUUAACUGGGAGAGGACGUUCAAAACUAGUAAGCUUGAGUACGAGAGAGGAAAAUGGAAUUCCGGGUGUAGUGGUGAAAUGCGUAGAUAUCCGGAGGAACACCAGUGGCGAAGGCGAUUUUCUGGCUCGAGACUGACGCUCAGACGCGAAAGCUAGGGUAGCAAACG